RNAcentral lists this ribosomal RNA (532 nucleotides) under Bifidobacterium adolescentis. RNAcentral describes it as "partial 16S ribosomal RNA". It matches the Rfam family "Bacterial small subunit ribosomal RNA", at positions 157 to 700 of the family's 1533-position model. Lineage: Bacteria; Bacillati; Actinomycetota; Actinomycetes; Bifidobacteriales; Bifidobacteriaceae. The record is from RNAcentral.
CGGGUGGUAAUGCCGGAUGCUCCAGUUGACCGCAUGGUCCUCUGGGAAAGCUUUUGCGGUAUGGGAUGGGGUCGCGUCCUAUCAGCUUGAUGGCGGGGUAACGGCCCACCAUGGCUUCGACGGGUAGCCGGCCUGAGAGGGCGACCGGCCACAUUGGGACUGAGAUACGGCCCAGACUCCUACGGGAGGCAGCAGUGGGGAAUAUUGCACAAUGGGCGCAAGCCUGAUGCAGCGACGCCGCGUGCGGGAUGACGGCCUUCGGGUUGUAAACCGCUUUUGACUGGGAGCAAGCCCUUCGGGGUGAGUGUACCUUUCGAAUAAGCACCGGCUAACUACGUGCCAGCAGCCGCGGUAAUACGUAGGGUGCAAGCGUUAUCCGGAAUUAUUGGGCGUAAAGGGCUCGUAGGCGGUUCGUCGCGUCCGGUGUGAAAGUCCAUCGCUUAACGGUGGAUCCGCGCCGGGUACGGGCGGGCUUGAGUGCGGUAGGGGAGACUGGAAUUCCCGGUGUAACGGUGGAAUGUGUAGAUAUCGG